GCCCGUUUGGCUCAGUGGGUAGAGCAUUGGCCUGUAGACUGAAGGGUCCAGGGUUUGAUUCCUGGUCAGGGCA
This 73-nucleotide transfer RNA is filed under the name Myotis lucifugus (little brown bat). It matches the Rfam family "tRNA". From Rfam's summary of the family: Transfer RNA (tRNA) molecules are approximately 80 nucleotides in length. The record is from Rfam by way of RNAcentral. Lineage: Eukaryota; Metazoa; Chordata; Mammalia; Chiroptera; Vespertilionidae.